RNAcentral lists this transfer RNA (73 nucleotides) under Synodus kaianus (Gunther's lizard fish). Its description in RNAcentral is "tRNA-Asn". Lineage: Eukaryota; Metazoa; Chordata; Actinopteri; Aulopiformes; Synodontidae. The record is from RNAcentral.
UAGGCAGAUGUCCGCUGGUUGGGGCGCUUAGCUGUUAACUAAGAGUUUGUGGGAUCGAGGCCCUCCUGCCUAG